GACUCUAUGUAUCCCGAAAUCUUUCCAGGCUAGUAAAAACUCCAUUUGUUCAGGAAUUUAUUCAUUAUUUCUCAGCAAAAUGCAGGUCAGUUUUACUGUGCUUAAGGGAAAAAAAUAAAAGCACAAACACAUGCCUAAUCUAAUUUGUAGCGAUCAAGAUUUAAGAGGAAAUGGGGAAGGGUUGGAGAAAGAAGUUUUUUUUUAAAAGAACACUCAGAGAGACAUAACACUUGUAGCAUCUUAAGACUUAAACACAAGCUCUUGAUGUAAUGUUCAGUUGUUCCUUCUUCACUGGCCCCAAGUUGUUUUUUUUUUUUUUUUUUUUUUUUUUAGUACAAACUCAUGCAAAGAAGAUUCUUAUAUCAGAAUCACUCAUUUGCCUUAGAAUGGCCAGUAUCCUUCUGUCCUCUCAAAAGAAAGUAUAAGCCUUCUUUAUAAAACUUCAGAGGUUUUGUGUUGGUGGCCAAAGACCAGAAAACUAGAAACUUUUUCUUUGUAGUUUAUCUUCCCAUGGUAACCAGCCAACCUCACUGUCCACCCAAGAGUCCAUCCUACCAGAAACUCUAGCUAAAAAUUUAGGACUAACAUGGAAGCAUAAUAUAUUGAUUUAAACUAUAACUUACUUAACCAUUUCUUCAGUAGAAAGCUCUGGAAAGAAUGAGAAAAAUUUUUAAAAUAAUUUCAAACUAGCACAAAUGAAUCUGAUAGGUUCUUCGAACUCAGGAGCAAGUGCUAUUUAAGAUAAAUGAAAAUAUUAAAUAUCUAUAAAAAAAUUGUAUUUGCUAUGAGAAGCAUCCAUAUUUUUAAAAUUCCGUAAUGAAAAACUCUAAAGCUGAUGGCCACAGAAUAACUGUACUGAAUAACAAAGACUUAAUUAAAGGAAUUCAUAGCUACAAAUUAUCUGGUGAAAUUCCAUGUGCAUACCUCCUUCCAAGUCAAACCCAUCAUUUUGUUUAAGUCUGAAAAACCAAAACAAAAGUGCUGCAAAGUAAGGAAAGUGUGAGUAUGAAGAAUGAGCCUACAUCUUACACCAGUUUCUGCUUUCUGGAGUUAAUUUCACAAAAAUCUCCUGGGAAUGAAGGGAGUGAAGAAACCAGCAGCCUCUGGAAAAUGAUGAGUCUUGCUGCAGGUUUGGGAAAAGAUGUCACCCCCAUUACUGUAUCCAAAUAGUCCUGGGAGCUGCCUUGUAAAUCCCUGUGUGGUGAAGCAAUUCCUCUCAUUCCACAUGUAACCCAGAGCAGUGCAGUGUGGAAAAUAAGUUUCCAAUUUUUAAUACAGACUUUUAUGACUAUCAUAUUUUCAGAAAAUAAACUCUGAAACAGACAGAGCUGGUAGACAGACAUGAGGUAGCACUGGGGCAUGGAAUGAAUGGUGCUUGGCUUGCUCACGUCCUGGGAAGAGUCACAGAGAAUGAAAUGUGUGUGGGGUGUGAAACAGGAGAACAGGAGUAAUGCUUCAAAUCACAUGGCCAUUAGAAAGCCUUCAAUGGAAAGAGGUUCUAGUUUCUUUCGUUUUUCCCCAUAGUAAACCUACCUAAGAAAAAAGCUCUUCUAUUUGAAGAGUGAAAUUUAUAAAUGGGCAUAAAAUACAGCCUAUUUAGGUAUCAGGUUAAAAUACUGAUGUAGUGUCCAAAUGAUCAAAAUGGAAUUAUGUUUCACACUAAUUUUAAUAUCUUUGAAGGCAAAAGUUGUUUAUUUUUUUCUAUAACAUAUAACAGUUUGGUUCUCAUAAUCACCAAAUAAGCAUUUUUUUUAUCAUUGCCAUGUUAUUAAACAGUAAUGGAAUGAUAAUAUCAACUGGAUAAUAAUGUUGGAUAAUAACAUCAAUAAUCAUUCGAUGAGCUCCUACAAUUUGUUAGGAGCCAUACUACUACACAGGUGGUUUAUAUACAUGAUAGUCUUCAAAAUAAUUAUUUAAGGUAAAUAUUAUUUUUCCAAUUUUAUAGAUGAACCAAGAUGUAAAAAAAUCAAGAAAAUAGCCCAAAAAUAUACAAAUAUAAUUUGCAAAAUCUGAAUUUGAAAUCAGUUUACUUUUAUUUGAAUAACUACAGAGUGUGAGAGAUAUUUUUUAGAUUUUCAAAAAUAAUACUCAAGUGGAAUACACACAUGGAAUAACCAUUGUGUACCAAACACAUAAAAUAAAUUUAUGAAAUCAAGUGGAACCUAGAAAGCAGACUUAAAAAAAAGGAUAAGUGUGUGUAUGCCUGUGUGUAGUGGCAGGUAAGAACUAGAGGCAAUUCCUUAUUUUGAGGCAAAAAAUGACAGCUACUAUGACUUAAAUUCUAGAAAUGGGCCACAUCAUGGAAAGUCUUGAAUGCCUUGCUUAGGAGCUUGAACAUUAUUUUUUCUCAAGUUAUUGGGAAUUAAUGGAAAGUUUUAAGGAAGGUAAUAAUGUGAUCAUACUUUAAUUUUAUAUUACAGUGGCGAAAGAGGAGGUCUAUAUAGGUGUGGGUGGGAAGUAGCCACGUGGAUGGCAAGGAGACAAACUUAGAUGCCACUGUGGUAAACUGCAGUGAUCCAAGGAUUAUUGCAAUAAUGAUGGUGAGAGCCUAAACUGAGGCAUUGGUAGUACAGAGGACAGGAGGUAUAUCUGGGAAGGAAUUAGCCGGUAAAAUGGUAGAAUCUAAUGACUGAUUAGAUUUUUGCUUGAAUAACCAGGUAGGAUGAUGUUGCCAUUAACUGACAAAAAGAAUACAUGAGAAAGAUGAUCCUGUCUUAGACGGAAGAUACUGAGUUGCGUUUUGGACACUGAACUUGAAGUGGCCAUGGACCACCCAGUGGGAAACUGGGUAUUCUGAAGUUCAUGUAGAACGUCAGGAUUGGAAAGAGAGAUCCAAGAAUGAUCAGCAACCGGCUAUUAAGAAAAACUCUGAGUGAGUAAGAUUCUUAGAUAAUCUAACACACGGAGAGGACUAGUGGACUAACUCCUAUGACAAAACAAUGUGCUAAGGAUAAAUAAAGAGAAGAAGACCAUUAAACUGAGAGGAAAAGGUCAGGAAGGUAUAGGGAGAACCUUCAGAGAGUAGCCUUUCAGGAAAGUUGGAGUGGUCAGUGGUAGGUGAAAGGACCCCAGUGGAACAUCACACAUUUCAGUUCUCCUCUUAUUAGACCAACUUAAGUGGAAUGGAGAGGGUUUGUGGGAUGUGCACACAGUCAGAGUACAGUUGGAUGAGUGAGGGCAUGGAGGCAGAUAGAAAACUGCACUGCUCCUUUAAAGCAACUGAACUUUUCAUUUAAAGGGAGGGUGGGAGCCGGACACAGGCCCUGGGAGAGAGCCGAGCUUGUUUACAGGCUAAGGGGAAAAAGCUCAUACAAAGGAAGCUGUUGAAGCUAUGGAAAAGAGAGCAUGAUUGAUGGAGCAAGUUCCCCCAGGAUAUGGAGAACAAACAAAAUACAGAAGGAGAACAAAUCCAUAAGGUUCCUCAAAACAAAAUCAAAGAUCUGGUAAAAGUAAAAAAAAAAUAUACCACCAAGGUCUGUAUCUGUGAUGACUGAAAUCAGUUACAAUAUUACUUUCUGUGUCUCAUUUAAGUGCUCUAAAACUAUCUUCAGGUAAAGUUCCCAAAUGACCCUCCUAAUAGUCCUACCAGAUUGACAGGGGUGUGUAUAAUUCCAUCAAUAUCAGAUGAGCACCCAAAGGCUCACUGAAGUUAAGGGACUCUGCUAAAUAGCAGAAAUGGACCAGAAUCCAGGAGUUCUCUCCAAUGAUAGAUGGACCAUGGCUUACUUUACUUUCUUAAGUAUAAAGACUAAAAUGAGCCUAUGAUGCUUAUCUUGCAAGUAAUGUUUUGAAUAACCCAGUCUACUGUCAUCUUGAAACUGAAUUUAUAAUUCUGAUUGAAUGGACACCUGGGAAAAAAAGAUAAAACAAAAAAAAAAAGAAAGAAAAAAGAAAAACAACUAUAAAAAUGUUUUUCCUUCUCCCUAUAUCUAACUAAUACAAAAAAAAGAUAUAAAUAUUUUUGAGCUUGAAAAUUAUAGCAGAACCUAGAGGGACAAAGUUCCAUUAUUUUAUUAAUAUUAAUUUAUUAAUAUUGCUAAUAUUACUGACUUAUCUGUAGAAGGAAACACAUGGGUAAGGAAAAUCUUGUUCCUUAGAGAACAUAUAAAAUAUAAGUGAAUUUCUGUUGAAGGAUUAUUUUUAAACAUACAAAUAAAAUAAAAUAAAAACACCAAGGUUGCCAAUGUAGUCACAACUUUAAGGCAAAAUUUUCCAUUGGCUAGAUGGCCCUCCAUGCAAAUGUCAAGAAUUCAUGCUGUUUUAAAUAUGGAGUUCCCGUCAUGGAGCAGUGGUUAACAAACCUGACUAGGAACCAUGAGGUUGCAGGUUCGAUCCCUGGCCUUGCUCAGUGGGUUAAGGAUCUGGCAUUGCCGUGAGCUGCGGUGUAGGUUGCAGACGCGGCUCGGAUCCCGCGUUGCUGUGUCUCCGGCAUAGGUUGGUGGCUACAGCUCCAAUUGGAUCCCUAGCCUGGGAACCUCCAUAUGCCGUGGGAGCGGCCCUAGAAAAGGCAAAAAGACCAAAAAAAAAAAAAAAAAAAGUUUAAAUAUUGAAUAUAAUGGCUCAUCAGUCUUAAAUGAAAUUUAGAAAAAAUUCACCUAGAGACUCUCAUACUGAGUGAAAGAAGUCAGAAAGACAAAUACCAUAUGAUAUCACUUAUAUCUGGAAUCUAAUAUAUGGCACAAAUUAACCUUUCCACAGAAAAGAAAAUCAUGGACUUGGAGAAUAGACUUGUGGUUGCCAAGAGGGAGGGAGUGGGAUGGAUUGGGAGCUUGGGGUUAAUAGAUGCGAACUAUUGCUUUGGAGUGGAUAAGCAAUGAGAUUCUGCUGUGUAGCACUGAGAACUAUGUCUAGUCACUUCUGAUGGAGCAUGAUAAUGAGAGAAAAAAGAAUGUAAACAUGUAUGUGUAACUGGGUCACCACGCUGUACAGUAGGAAAAAAAUGUACUGGGGAAAUAAUAAAAAAAUUUAAAAAAAAAGAAAAAAUUCACCUGAAAUUUAAAUGGAAGGAAAUUUGAAUUGUCAAUAUGUUCCCAGCAAUUCCAUCAUCUUAUAUAAACUUGUGCAACUUGCCCAAAUUCAUACAAUAGGUCAAUUAAUAAUUAACAAUUUUAGUCUUUUUAUCCUACAAUUUCCUCUCAUGUGCCAAUCUAAACUUUUCAAUGCUGAAAUCUCAGAGCAAAAAAAAGACUACAGUCAAAAAGUGAUCCAUUUUUAAACAUUUUAUAAGUCGCCAUAUAAGGCUAAGUGAUGAUGCAUGAAUUAUCCUUCAAGCAGGAUUUUAAAAAAGAAAAAAAACCCAGAUUAACAUGACUUCAAUCUUCUAAGUCCCCUCUUCUCAAAACAAAGCAUUCUCUAUGUUUUUACCUCAUAUAUUGUGUUAGGUGCAUUUCUAGAAUGAUGAACACAAUAAGUGUUAGGUCUGUGGUGAUAUGAUAGAAGUGUAAAGAGAAAGUAAGAGAGAGAAAAUGAAAACUAUAUAUUCACCUGUAAACAGAUUAAUAGUGCGUGCCCUUUGGUAGCAGAAUAUUCAUCUAACCCACCAUGAGGAGGACUUGGGCCUUGAGCUGCUUUUCCAGAGAUAACGAUGAAUUUGCAAUGGUUUACCUACAAACUUUAAUUAGGCAACCUUAUAACUGAAAGGAAUAACUAGAAUAGUAAGUUAUUACCAAAGUCACAGUGUUCAGCCUUGGAACAGGAAAGCAACUAGUAUCCACAUCAAGAUCAAGAGUGUUAGGUGGAUUUUCACCACAGUGGUUCACAGCAUGAAUCAGAAUCACCCAGAGAGCUUCCCACCCAUAGCUAUAAAUCAGGAUAUAUGGAAAUGAGGGGAGCCUAGAAUCUAUAUUGGCAACCACUUCUUCAGGUGAUUCUUCAUGCAGCCAGCUCAACAUUGAUCUGUGGAUUGUUUACCUACUAACCUAAAGAAUCAUAGUCCAAGUAUACAUCAUGUUUGUCAAUAUAAAAAAUUUGUUAUAUCUAUCAAUCUACCAAUCUACAUAUAUAGAGUGAGAUACUCUUCAAAAUAAAGCCUCAUUCUAGUUUGAAUAAAAGUUAUAGUUACUUCUAAAUUUAUCUGAUGAGAAUAAGGAAAGAACUGUAACCUAAUAUUUAAGUGCCAUCCAGUAUUCUUUGCUUUAUAAUCUGCUCAGAAAUAAACAAUAAGCAGAGUAGAAUUGUUUACUCAACUAUAUUCUGCCCACUAAAACCAGAAGAUCUAUUCCACUGAAAGUGGCUGACAAUUAUACUCACUGUGGUCGGGCUUGUAGUUGCCCCCUAAUAUCUAUUUGCCCAUUUAUAUCCUUCAUAAUAUAACUCUAUUUAGUAGAGUACAUUGCCAGUGCUACCUAGCUAAGACUAUGUUUCCCAGAAGCCCUUAGAGCUUUGUGAGACCAUAUGACUAAAUUCUAGCUAACUUACAAGUAAGUUGAAAUAUGGGGAUUUAAUAGUCUCCAUUUAAAAAGAGGGAAUUUUGUCUCCCAUCUUCUGUCCAGAUGCUUGAAGGUAAAUAUAAUGGCUGGAACUCUAGCAGCUGCAUAGGAAUAUAACAAGGGCUGUCCCCUAAAGAUAUGAGAGCUGGAAAAAAACUGAAUCCCUAAUUUGUAGAGCUGGUAUACCAGCUUUUCACUACAUAACUAAAAGCUUAUUUUAUGUAAGCAAAAAACAAAACAAUAUUUUUUUUGGUUUAAACUACUGCAUUCUGCUAUAAGCACCUGAACAUUGAUUAAAACAUCCACUGCAAAAGCAGAGUUUGCAUACCCUACAUGAUCUGAAGUAUCUAUGUCAACAGUAAUGAGUUUAUAACAAUCUAUGAAUGAACAAGUAUCUUAGGCUAUGUAUUCAUAUUCUUAAUCUCCUUUAAAAUGAACCCAUCCAAACACUAGUGUUAAUCAUUAGUUUCUUCAUGUUUGUUUUUAACAAUGAGAUAAAUGGUAGAUAUAAUAAAAAAUAUAGGGGACUAUGCUAUAGAAAAGACCAUGAGCCCCUCACUUCUUAGCCCCUCACAACUUAGCCAAGCAGAAGUUGGCUUGGGUCCAGGAUAUUAGUGUAGAGCUGCAACAAGAGGGUUGCAAAUUUAUGGUCCAUGAGCCAGACUUGGCACCCAGAUAUAUUGCAUUUGGCUUAUGCAACACUUUCUGAAAACAUUAGAUUUGAAUGCCUUCAAGUGGGCAUGCACCUUCAGUUCUCCACAGGCCCACCAUCCCCUGAUGAUGUACGAACACCCGCUUGCUUCACUUGUUGAUGUUACCUGCCUGGUCUCUGAGAAGCAUUGACGUUUAUAGUCUCUGGAAAGAAAAUGAUGAAGAAAGGAAAUUGAGACUCACAGAAGCUAAAUAACUCAUGUCAAGUCAUACUAGACAUGUCAAGAAAUGACAAACUUGUCAAGAAAUGGCUAGAUCCAGCAUCAUCUCUACUUCCAUGGUUUUGGAAUGAGAGGAAUACAGAAAAUUGUUCCUGGGACAUCUGAAAUCUCCUCUCCAUAAAUACAUAGCUAAAACCAUCAAGGGACACAAAACAUUUGGCAAUUCCUUUCCCUCCAAACUAACUAAAAUUAUUUGUACACACAUUUACUUGUAAGAAGAGAUCCUUUAUUAAUUCACAUCUUGUAGUCAAUCUCUAAGGCCCAUCAUCUGGCUCCAAAAAACGCAACAUGCUUAAUUUACUAAAUGCAUUCUGGAUUCUCCUCAAAUUUUUAUGAAUCUGUUAAAAACUCUCCAAUUAUUUCAA
Long non-coding RNA from Sus scrofa (pig), 7725 nucleotides. RefSeq lists it as uncharacterized. NCBI's taxonomy places the organism in Eukaryota, Metazoa, Chordata, Mammalia, Artiodactyla, Suidae. The record is from RefSeq and is a predicted model, not a curated record.